This is a non-coding RNA of Bombyx mori (domestic silkworm), 84 nucleotides long. Lineage: Eukaryota; Metazoa; Arthropoda; Insecta; Lepidoptera; Bombycidae. The record is from Rfam.
UUAAUUCAAAUUCGCACGGAGUUGGAAUGUUUGCCUACGUUUGCCGCUAGGGGCACUGUUCCAACUACAUACAAAAUUAACUUA